GAAUCUUGCGCAAUGGGCGAAAGCCUGACGCAGCAACGCCGCGUGCGGGAUGAAGGCCUUCGGGUUGUAAACCGCUUUCAGCAGGGACGAAAUUGACGGUACCUGCAGAAGAAGCCCCGGCCAACUACGUGCCAGCAGCCGCGGUAACACGUAGGGGGCGAGCGUUGUCCGGAUUUACUGGGCGUAAAGAGCUCGUAGGCGGCUCACUAAGUCGGGUGUGAAACCUCCAGGCUCAACCUGGAGACGCCACCUGAUACUGGUGUGGCUAGAGUCCGGUAGGGGAGUGUGGAACUCCUGGUGUAGCGGUGAAAUGCGCAGAUAUCAGGAAGAACACCAGCGGCGAAGGCGGCACUCUGGGCCGGUACUGACGCUGAGGAGCGAAAGCGUGGGUAGCAAACAG
This 400-nucleotide ribosomal RNA is filed under the name uncultured bacterium. RNAcentral's name for it is "bacterial SSU rRNA". It matches the Rfam family "Bacterial small subunit ribosomal RNA", at positions 359 to 775 of the family's 1533-position model. The record is from RNAcentral.